UACGUAGGGUGCGAGCGUUGUCCGGAAUCAUUGGGCGUAAAGGGCGCGUAGGUGGCGGGACAAGCGUGCGGUGAAAGCCCGGGGCUCAACUCCGGGUCGGCCGUGCGAACUGGGGGACUGGAGCUUGUCAGAGGCAGGCGGAAUUCCGGGUGUAGCGGUGGAAUGCGUAGAGAUCCGGAAGAACACCGGUGGCGAAGGCGGCCUGCUGGGACAGUGCUGACGCUGAGGCGCGACAGCGUGGGGAGCAAACAGG
Molecule: ribosomal RNA, 253 nt
Filed under: uncultured bacterium
Lineage: Bacteria
Description: partial 16S ribosomal RNA
Rfam family: Bacterial small subunit ribosomal RNA
Source: RNAcentral